Lolium rigidum is the source of this 314-nucleotide long non-coding RNA. RefSeq lists it as uncharacterized. The record is from RefSeq and is a predicted model, not a curated record. The transcript has 4 exons. Lineage: Eukaryota; Viridiplantae; Streptophyta; Magnoliopsida; Poales; Poaceae.
AGUCAUCAGCGACGCCUUCCACUCCGACUCUGUUCUGACCGAGAUCUACAUCGACAAGCGAGUGCAAGUGUCAUGCAUGCUUCAGGUGUCUACGGGUGGAUGAUCCAAUCAGCCAUGUUAUGUGCAUCGACAAGCCAGCAUAUCGCACACUUUUUUUCUAGAAGGAUGGGCCUGGUGAUUGGCACGGAAGCGUUCUCCAUUGACGAAAAAUAAGCACUCGUGGGUGUAGAUGCAUGUGUGACUAAAAUUUGUUGGAGAGCGAAAAAAGUUAGUGGACUCUGCCGUCAUUGUAACAGAGUUGGACUGUGAAUGUA